AUUAUAGGCCUGAGCCACCAUGGUUGGCCUGUAUUUUUCUUUUAAAAAAGAGUAUCAAACUAUGCAUAUGAUACAAUAGUAUAACUAGAAUUUUAACAUUUAAUACCUAUCUUGAAUAUCUUUCCAUAUCUGUGAGAUGUAUAUAUAUAUAUACUAAUUAUUCAUGUGAUUCCCAUAACAUUUUAAAAUACAUUUGUGUGUGUCUGUGUUAUUUUAACAGCUGAUUUGUAUUCCAUUGCAUUGGAAUUAUAAUUUUUAGUGUUCAAUUUAUGAAGAUUUAAGAUAGUUUAAGGGGCAUUUUUUGCAAGAUUACUUUUAAUAAAAACAAUUGACAUUAAUUAAAUUGUCCCUCCUGUUAGUGAAUAAUGGACAUCAACUGACCAGAAGAAAGACUUAACAUUCACCAAUACUCAACCUAUGCCACCCUCUGACCCAACAAUAAUUCACAUGCUGCUUCUCUAGCAGUGUUAGGUAAUCAUCUAAGAGAUGGUGGCUGUAGCCUCUGCUUUGUUUACCCAAGACUCAGACAAGUCAGAAUAUAACUGAAGAACGAAUAGGUGUACCCAUCAGGAAAAUUAUUUGCAUAAAAGACCAAGGUACUAUCUGGGGAGAUGAAAAAUAAGGAAAACAACAAAAAAUAACAAAAAUCACAUUUCACUCACAGGAAUGAGAGAGUGAAGACUACAGAUUUGAUCUGGCUAAUCACUCAGGAUCACAGGAAAGGUCUGUUCAGAUUCACAACAGUCCCUGAGUCGAAGGUCCUGGUGCUAUGAGCAAGAAAUGAUGGGGCUCACUCAUGCCAUUUCUCUAAGACUUUGGGAACACUGCUUUUAAGACGCAUAGCAACAGACCCCAGGUGGACUAAAGAAUAGAGCGUGGGGAGAGGAAUUCUUUACACUGCAGCCUCAAGAGUCAUGGUCACAGAAAGCCAAAACAGUCUUUACAGAGGAGCAAAAGGCAGAGAGGAGAUUCCCCAUAGUCGGAGAAAACUGGACUAAAGAAGAAUCACUCUACGUAAGCGAAUCUGUGGUCUUCUCUCUCACUCAGAGACCUCAGGGGAGCAUGAGAAAUGAGUCAGUCUCUCUGAGGACCCACCAAGCUGCCAGAGCUAAACAAGAGUCUUGUUUGAACUCUGAAGGGGAGAAGGGACAGAAGGCAUGGAUGAGAACACAGCUGCAGUUGACUUCCGUGAAACCAUCUGGAGAGCAUGGCCCAAGAAAGAGAAAAGGGCACGGGGACCAAAUUAAGAAUGUUCUUAGUUAAUUUUCUAAAGAAUGAGUCCACUGAAAAACCACCCACUCCUGGGUUCCUGAUAAUGCAAACUUCAUUCAUUUGUUUAUUCAUUCAACAAAUGGAGUAGCUCCGACCAAUAUUAUGGAUUGGCUUGGAAAAUACCUCUGGCUUCUUGGCAGAGAAUCAAGCAAGAAACUUACAUGUGAUUUUGGUCUAUUCUAAAUAACUUCUCUAGGUUACAUACUUACACGCUGAUGGUUCACACAUAAGGAGGACAAAAGGAAUGCUACCAAAACAAAAAUCACCCCUCAAAAUUAUUUAAAAGGCAGAAGAUUUUAAAUUGAAGAAAUAUCUUUAGCAUCAAGUCAGGGUAUGAAUGUACCAGAAAGGCUUUGUUUUAGCAAAUUUACUUCCCAAAGGGCAGAAUAAUAUAUAUGAAAUGAAAAAUGCACAGGCCUUUUGUUCUUUAAUGACCUUGGGGGAAUAUUCUAAUUUAUCAGGAAUCUGCCAAGAAAACAGUUUACCUCUUCAGUUGUCUCAUUUUGUGUUUCUGAAUUUUUUUUUUUUUUUUUUUUUUAGCCAGGGUCUCAAUCUGUUGUCCAGGAUGGAGUGCAGUGGUGCAAUCAUGGCUCACUGUAGCCUCGACCUCCUGGGAUCAAGUGAUCCUCCCACUAUCAGCCUCCUGAGUUGCUGGGACUACAGCUAUGUGCCACCAUACCCAGCAAAUUUUUGUAUUUUUUGUAGAGACGAGGUCUCACCAUGUUGCCCAGGCUGGUCUUGAACUCCUGAGCUCAAGUAAUUUGCCCAUUUCAGCCUCUCAAAGUCUGGGAUUAUAGGUGUGAGCCACUGUGCCCUGCCCAUGUUUCUGAAUUUUUAAUACAUUUUAUUAAUUCUUGCUGAUCUGUGAAACACUAAGAAAAGUAAAUUGUUUUAUAAUUUUGUCUCUUAAUAUCCUCCAAAAAAUUAAUUCUAUUGCUUUUUCUUUGCAUACUUCUUGGAUACUAUUUUCCUCCCUUUGUGUCAGUGACUUAUCACAGGAAGAAAAAAAAAAUGUUCCCCAUCCAUUCCUUACUUGGUAUCUAUAGGGCUGUAAGCGAAGACAUUGGCUUUAUCUACAAACUGCUGCAGUCAGAUUGUUAUGGAAAUAGGAAUUAAUUAUUGUAGAAGCAGUAUAAUGAUCUUCUUUGGAAUCAGAGAAUUAAAACCAGGAUUCAAAGCAAUACCCGUAAGGGAAAGUGGUUGGGGUUUAUAUCGGAAUCAUGGGGGUAUAUUAUAUUAAGGUUAAAGAGGGAGGAUGAGAUGGAAAGACAGAAAAUCUCGCCACAGCAUGUGGAAGUUUCUCCUUAGGAGAGCCUUGUGGCUCAUUGUGCCUGUCAAGUAGGCUAAUGUGCCUGUAAAUUUCCUCUGACAGAAAACACAUCACAGCAGCAGCACCAGAAAACAACACAACCAAACUGUGGAAGACUGAAAACCCAGUGCUUUCAAGGGUGAUCAGAAUAUGCCAGAGUAAAAAACAAAAACAAAAACCAAAAAAAAAGCAAGGCAUUGAAAAUAAACAAAAGCUAGGGAGAAAUGAGAUCACCUUCCAAGAAAUAAGCAUUUAUCAUUCAUUCAUAGGCGAAAGGAAAUGCUUCUCCCACAGUCAUUUUUUAAUGUAUUAUUGGGCAGUCUCAGUUCAAGGUCAAAAAUGUCAGAGGGCAAAAGGAAUAGGACUCAAGAUUUAAUGCUGUAUUUAUCAUAACUGGCUUUGUAAUUGCAUAAAUAUUAAAUAUGUAGAACUAAUUGCAAGCACAUUAUCUCCAUAUCUCCACACAUUGCUUUAAUUUUUAAUGUAAUCUUUUAUCUGCCUUUUCCUCAGCUGGCUGUGGGUUUGUAAUUUGCAUAGCUAGAAUGAUCCGGUGCCAUCAAUUUAGUAAUGAAGUCACUCAUUGAGCAGAAGAGUUUUCUAAAGAUUAUACAAAGCUGUAGGAAAGAAAAGAACAGAAAUGAAAUUUUAUGUUUCAAAUAAAUGGGAAGUUUAUUUUAGAACAUAUUUUCCAUUGUAAAUUUAAUGCAACCACUUCAUAACAAAUUUGGAAAACAGAGAAGAUUGGGAAAAAGCACCCAUAUUUCAUCAUCCUAACUUAUCAGUGUUUUGUGGUCUUUUAUACCUAGGCACAUAUAUUUUUAACAUCGAUGUAAUCAUAAUUAUGUGUGUGUAUAUGUGUGUAAUUUUACAUCCUAUUUUUUGUAUUAUUACUAUGGUUUUCAUAACUAUAACUUUUAUGACUAUAAAAUACUAAUAAAAAGAGGUGUCUAUAAUUUUCUCACUUACUAAAUUUCUUGUGGCUAGCCGAGCAGAGGGGUGGAAUCAGAUGGAUUAAAUUUCAGCUCUGCUAUUGAACUGUGUGGAUUUGGGCAAGUUAGUAAAAAGCUGGGCGUUAGUCUUCUCAUCUACAAAAUGAGGAUAGUGAUA
This 3688-nucleotide long non-coding RNA is filed under the name Homo sapiens (human). Its description in RNAcentral is "HSALNT0092711". Lineage: Eukaryota; Metazoa; Chordata; Mammalia; Primates; Hominidae. The record is from RNAcentral.